GGAGGAAAAGAAACCAACAGGGAUUGCCUUAGUAGCGGCGAGUGAAGCGGCAAUAGCUCAAAUUUGAAAUCUGCCAACAGGCCGAGUUGUAAUUUGAAGAAAGCAAUUCUGGAUGUGUCUUUGCUCAAGUUCCUUGGAAUAGGACAUCAUGGAGGGUGAGAAUCCCGUGAUGCGAAGGUAGCACAUCUAUGUAGAAUGUUUUCGACGAGUCGAGUUGUUUGGGAAUGCAGCUCAAAGUGGGUGGUAAAUUCCAUCUAAAGCUAAAUAUUGGCGAGAGACCGAUAGCGAACAAGUACUGUGAAGGAAAGAUGAAAAGAACUUUGAAAAGAGAGUGAAAAAGUACGUGAAAUUGUUGAAAUGGAAGGGCUUGAGAUUAGACAU
RNAcentral lists this ribosomal RNA (381 nucleotides) under Wickerhamiella sorbophila. RNAcentral describes it as "partial large subunit ribosomal RNA". It matches the Rfam family "Eukaryotic large subunit ribosomal RNA", at positions 52 to 436 of the family's 3401-position model. The record is from RNAcentral. Lineage: Eukaryota; Fungi; Ascomycota; Dipodascomycetes; Dipodascales; Trichomonascaceae.